CACGACUGAAGUGACUUAGCAGCAGAUUCUCAGAAAUUUUUCACAAUAAAUUCCUAAAGCAUACCUGUUUCUUUCCAAACAUGCAAAAUAUUCAGAAUCCCAUGGGUGGUGAUGGAGAUAUACCUUGUUUUUAAAAUUAAUUCUGGGGACUAGAAAUAAAAAUACACUUUCCAGUGUGACAGGGAUGAUUUUGUGGAGACUGUGAUCAGUGAAAAAUGACUGCUCCCCCCAGCAGCCAGAACACUAUGCUCCUUUCCAGAAUACUUCUCUUUAAUAAUGUGUUUAAUAAUGUGACUCUUCUCUGCAUGCAUUUUCCCUGCCAGAUUAUGAGCUCCUUGAGAACAGAAACUGCCUAACUUGUUCAUCACUCUACUUCUGCACCAAGGGCAGUGACAAGCUGAUGGUAGAUGUUGGCUGAGUGGGUGGCUGGCUAGAUGGAUGAUGCCAUCCUGUGGGGUGAAAGCAAAGAACAGCCCCCUGACUGAGAAUGGGACAGAAGAUGGGAGGGUUUGAUCAUAGGGAGAGGAAAAUCAUCCAGAACGGCCUAUAAGUGAAGGUCUGAUCAGGUCAGCCUGCUGGUCCAAGGUGGCAGCAAAUUGGGGAAGACAAGAUGGAGACAUUGGACAAAGAGGAAGAAACCAGAAUUGGGAUGAAAGGAGCCCUUUGCUGAGGCUAUUCAAGGCAAUGGGAUGACCACCAAAGAGAUGACUUUGGUUAUAUACUCCUCCCAAGGGCUAAGCACUGGAAGAUGACAAGAGGGAAGUGGAGACCCUAGAGAUCGCCCUGGAACCAAACCACCCUAAAUGGAGCCGGGAGGUCUGUCAAUUCCCAGAGAGCACGGAGGAAAUGGGAAAAUGGAAACGUAGCACAGCUGAACUUAAAACAGCAAGCCAAGAACAAAAACAACGUGCACAGCCAAAGGAGACCUUGGAAGAUGCGUAGAUAAAACAAAAAGCUGUGCUUGACUGGGACUCUCUUUUGGAAUCAGAGGCAAAAUGGAGAACAUUGUUCCAAUUAUAAAGAUUUUGCAAUCUAUAAUAUCUCUAAUAGAAAGGCAUCAUGUCAUCUACCUUGACAUUCAGAAGCUGUGCUAUUGCUAUGAGUUAUGAUACUUGUUCCUGAACCAGAGUGGUCAGAGGUGGGGUGGAAUUCCUAUGGUGGACCAGAAUUUAAACUCCACUUAAACAGUGCUUUCCCAUGGCAAUCACUCUCCCUUUUCCUUCCCCCACCUGCCCCAGCUCCCCACCCCCACCAAAACCAUAGAAUUUUUAUUUAAAUAUUCACUCAUUCUCUUCAUCCCCAUCUCUCUCCACAAAGAGUCAUUAUUUACUUAUUAUACUCAGCCCUUAAAUGUCAACUUUUUUAGGACAAGUGUAUAGCUGAUUCUCUCUGCAGCCUUGCUGACCCCAAGAAGUUGAAUCUUGAACCCCACAAAUCUCAAUACUUUUUAUCUCUUGGGUGCCCAUUUUGGUUGAGCAAAGGGUCCUCCCUCAAUCCUAAGACUCUUCCCCACUUCCUCCUUUUCUCCUAGUAACUCUUGCCACUGGCCAAAGAUUUAUUAGACCCUAGUUUUGUCCCUAUGCCUCUUGCCACUAGCUAUAAAUUGCGUUUUUGCAAAUUAGAAAAAGCUACCCUACCUCAAGACACUUUGCUGCCAUCUGCCAGAAAACUAUUGUAAUAAAUAUGCCAAGAGA
This is a long non-coding RNA of Odocoileus virginianus texanus, 1694 nucleotides long. RefSeq lists it as uncharacterized. The record is from RefSeq and is a predicted model, not a curated record. Lineage: Eukaryota; Metazoa; Chordata; Mammalia; Artiodactyla; Cervidae.